This 220-nucleotide unclassified non-coding RNA is filed under the name Hevea brasiliensis (rubber tree). Lineage: Eukaryota; Viridiplantae; Streptophyta; Magnoliopsida; Malpighiales; Euphorbiaceae. The record is from RNAcentral.
AGCCUUUCAACGGUUAAUAAGCUUCAUUUUAUUUGUCCAGAUCCUUUAAGAGAUGCAAAGAAAAGCAUGAAGUGCUUUAUUUCAAGCUUGUCGCUACCAUACAAGAAUGAAGAGUUGAUUGUUCUCCUGAUGCAGAUUUUGAUUCUCUCGCACUGUAAGACUUGAGGUUUUUUCCGAUCAGGGGGGAGAAUAAUGUAGAAUAGGAAGUUUAGAAUUUUAU